RNAcentral lists this long non-coding RNA (1814 nucleotides) under Salmo salar (Atlantic salmon). RNAcentral describes it as "lncRNA (ENSSSAG00000114159.1)". The record is from RNAcentral. Lineage: Eukaryota; Metazoa; Chordata; Actinopteri; Salmoniformes; Salmonidae.
CAGCAGUAGGGUAGAGGCAGUAGUAGUUAGCAGCGGUAGUUAGCAGUAGUAGGUAGCAGCAGCAGUAGGUAGCAGCAGUAGGGUAGAAGCAGUAGUAGUUAGCAGCAGUAGGUAGCAGCAGUAGGUAGCAGCGGCAGGUAGCAGCGGUAGAGUAGCAGCGGUAGGGUAGCAGCGGCAGGUAGCAGCAGUAGAGUAGCAGUGGCAGGUAGCAGCGGCAGGUAGCAGCGGUAGAGUAGCAGCGGAAGGGAAGCAGCGGUAGGUAGCAGCGGUAGAGUAGCAGCGGUAGGGUAGCAGCGGUAGGUAGCAGCGGUAGGGUAGGAGCGGCAGGUAGCACCGGCCGGUAGCAGCGGUAGGGUAGCAGCGGUAGAGUAGAAGCGGUAGGGUAGAAGCGGUAGGGUAGAAGCGGUAGGUAGCAGCAGUAGUAGUUAGCAGCGGUAGGUAGCAGCGGCAGGUAGCAGCAGUAGAGUAGCAGCGGCAGGUAGAAGCUGCAGGUAGCAGCAGUAGAGUAGCAGCGGAAGGGAAGCAGCGGUAGGGUAGCAGCGGUAGGUAGCAGCGGUAGGGUAGAAGCGGCAGGUAGAAGCGGCGGGUAGCAGUGGUAGGGUAGCAGUGGUAGAGUAGCAGUGGUAGGGUAGCAGUGGUAGGGUAGAAACGGCAGGUAGAAGCGGUAGGGUAGGAGCAGCGGUAGGUAGAAGCGGUUGGUAGCAAUGGUAGGGUAGCAGCAGCGGUAGGGUAGAGGCAGCAGUAGGUAGCAGCAGUAGGGUAGCAGCAGCAGUAGGUAGCAGCGGCAGGUAGAAGCGGUAGGGUAGUAGCGUUAGGGUAGCAGCGCCAGGUAGAAGUGGUAGGGUAGAAGCAGCGGUUGGUAGCAGUGGUAGGGUAGCAGCGGCAGGUAGCAGCGGCAAGUAGCAGCGGUAGGGUAGAAGAGGUAGGGUAGCAGCGGUAGGGUAGCAGCGGUAGGGUAGUAGCAGUAGGGUAGCAGAAGUAGGUAGCAGCAGUAGGGUAGCAGCAGUAGGGUAGCAGAAGUAGGGUAGCAGCAGUAGGGUAGUAGAAGUAGGGUAGCAGCAGUAGGGUAGAAGCAGUAGGGUAGAAGCAGUAGGGUAGCAGCAGUAGGUAGAAGCAGUAGGUAGCAGCAGUCGGUAGCAGCUGUAGGGUAGAAGCAGUAGGGUAGCAGCAGUAGGUAGCAGCAGUAGGUAGCAGCAGUAGGGUAGCAGCAGUAGGUAGCAGCAGUAGGGUAGCAGCAGUCGGUAGCAGCAGUAGGGUAGCAGCAGUAGGUAGCAGCAGUAGGUAGCAGCAGUAGGGUAGCAGAAGUAGGGUAGCAGCAGUAGGGUAGCAGCAGUAGGUAGCAGCAGUAGGUAGCAGCAGUAGGGUAGCAGAAGUAGGGUAGCAGCAGUAGGGUAGAAGCAGUAGCAGUAGGGUAGCAGCAGUAGGGUAGCAGCAGUAGGGUAGAAGAAGUAGGUAGCAGCAGUAGGGUAGCAGAAGUAGGGUAGCAGCAGUAGGGUAGAAGCAGCAGGGUAGAAGCAGCAGGGUAGCAGAGGUAGGGUAGAAGAAGCAGGGUAGCACAGUAGAUAGCAGCAGGGUAGCAGCAGUAGGGUAGAAGCAGUAGGGUAGGAGCAGUAGGGUAGAAGCAGCAGGGUAGCAGAAGCAGGGUAGAAGCAGUAGGGUAGAAGAAGUAGGGUAGGAGUAGUAGGGUAGAAGAAGCAGGGUAGCAGAAGCAGGGUAGCAGAGGUCAGUAAGUUGUCGUGUUGUCGUGUUGAAACAACUCCGCCAGGUCGAUCAUUUAGCUAGCUAGCGACAUUGUUUGUGAUAUCGAAAGUCAC